CAGCCGCCGCGGUAAUACGGAGGGGGCUAGCGUUGUUCGGAAUUACUGGGCGUAAAGCGCACGUAGGCGGCUUGGUAAGUUAGAGGUGAAAGCCCGGAGCUCGACUCCGGAAUUGCCUUUAAGACUGCCGAGCUAGCAGGUGAGAGAGGUAAGUGGAAUUCCGAGUGUAGAGGUGAAAUUCGUAGAUAUUCGGAAGAACACCAGUGGCGAAGGCGGCUUACUGGCUCAUACUGGACGCUGAGGUGCGAAAGCGUGGGGAGCAAACAGGAUUAGAUACCCGGGUAGUCCCUGUCUCUUAUAC
This 301-nucleotide ribosomal RNA is filed under the name uncultured bacterium. Its description in RNAcentral is "partial 16S ribosomal RNA". It matches the Rfam family "Bacterial small subunit ribosomal RNA", at positions 509 to 807 of the family's 1533-position model. The record is from RNAcentral.